Molecule: long non-coding RNA, 2205 nt
Organism: Podarcis raffonei (Aeolian wall lizard)
Lineage: Eukaryota; Metazoa; Chordata; Lepidosauria; Squamata; Lacertidae
Exons: 3
Source: RefSeq, a predicted model, not a curated record
CGCGGCUCUUUAACGGGAGCACUGAGCAGAGCCUCCCGCCUGCAUUUGCUCCAUAAGACGCACACACAUUUCCCCUUACUUUUUAGGAGGGGAAAAGUGCGUCUUAUGGAGCGAAAAAUACGGUAGGUCUGCAGCUCUUAGCAGCUCUGUGAGCGUCACGGCAUGGACUGUUGAUUUCCCAGCCCCUGGCCACAUGGAGGCUGCAUCGUGUGCUUUCCAUAGAGAGAAAGACUGUUGUCUCAUGGCCGGCUGUGAGCAGCGGUACCAUUAGUCAGAGGUGAAAAGGCUGCUCAAGUGGAGCCAAGCCCAUUCCCAGUGGCAGGCGGGACACAUCACCAUCAUAACAUGCAAGGACUGGGGUGGGGUCCCCAGGUGUCCAGCGCCAUUUCCACGAGACAGAAGAUGAUUAAAAAUCUGGUCCGUCAAGUCGGGUAGGGAAAUCCUUGCUGUCUUCAUUCCUCUGGUUAUUGUGGAGGGGUUUUAGCAAUGCUUACAUUGUUAUUGGGGGAGACAGUUCAUUGCUGGGACAUCAGCGAUGGGAAGCACAGAGAAGGAUUCCUUAUGUUCACUUGAUCCCCCUAAACAGCUGAAUCGGAUGGCAUUCUCACAGUCCACUCAACACCUUGCCAUUGUGUGCUGUUUUCAUCAUGCCAAAAUCGUCCUUUCCCCCCAUUUUGCCCCCCCCCACUUGCAGGUGGUGAAAUUUGGGGUGGCUAAGAUGAUUUCUGAGGCAGUGGUUAGGGAAAGGGAAACCUGACAGUUUCAGGUUCUAUUAGGUUCUCGUUUUUCCAAACUUAAGUUCAGUUCUCCACACUGGUUUGUUGUUGCAUUAAAAGAAACUCCUGAUGAAAAUUCACCAGCAUUUCCCCCCAGAUAUCUAUCUAUCUAUCAUCUAUCUAUCUAAUUAGUUGUUGUUGUUGUCUUCACCUUAAAGUCACAGGGCAGCUUACGACAAUUAAACCUGCUUUCCUUUGGACCAUCUCAGCGAGGCAAAGUGUAAAUAAGCUUCUUCUAGUAAUGCAAGCCCAGGGCGCAUGCCGGCCUUCCCCAACCCGACGCCCUCCAGAUGUUUUAAACAGUCCCAGGGAGCACAGGUAUGAUGACUGGAUUCUGCCUCCAGUGUUGGAAGCCUCUGCAUAGCCGUUGGUGGGAUUCACAAGUGGGGAGAGUUUUGCUAUUGUGCUCAGAUCCUGGUCGCAGGCUUCCCAUUGUGCAGAAGCAGCUCAGCAAUAAAUCACAUGGAGGCGAUGAGCAUGUUGAGGAGGAGGAUGUACGUGACUAUGACGUAAGUCACCAGCAGGAUGAUGAAGACUGACCUGAAGCGUGGGGAACUAAAGGUAGUGAAACUAACGGCAAAAUUAGGAAAUACAGGUAACUGUGUGAAUGUGCUGGGCAAACAGGUCCAUAAGAAAGAUAGACAGAGAGAGAGAGGGAGGGAGGGAGUUCAGAACAGCACAUUUUAAACUUAUAAAUCACAAGGAUCUCCUGUAAGGUAAAGGUUUGAUGUCCAUAGUUUGUAAUUCGGUUGAACUGAUGAAAAGGAACUGAUGGUGAUUUAGGGUGUAUAUGAAAAUAGGAGCAGCACUCUUAAUUACAGUGGUACCUCGGGUUACAGAUGCUUCAGGUUACAGACGCUUCAAGUUACAGACUCCGCUAACCCAGAAAUAGUACCUCGGGUUAAGAACUUUACCUCAGGAUGAGAACAGAAAUUGUGCGGCGGCAGCGGGAGGCACCAUUAGUUAAAGUGGUACCUCAGGUUAAGAACAGUUUCAGGUUAAGAACAGACCUCCGGAACGAAUUAAGUUCUUAACCCGAGGUACCACUGUAUUAAAAAUUGUAAGAGUUUCCUAUAACUUCAGUAGUUAUUAUUUACAAUUUGGGGCAACUGAGGCAAAUAAAUUGGUUAUAUUAAUUACUAUUGCUACUACUACAACGACUCUGAUGUGCCCUUCACCAGUGGGUCCCAGGGCAGCUUACAACAAUUUAAAAUUCAGUAUUAAAAACAUUAAAAAAACAAAUUACAACCACAGGAAUAGGUUGGAUCCUGAAACACAUCUCUCAAGUGUCAAAUGCUGGAUGCUCGUAUGUGGAGAGGGAGUUAUGCAGCUUAGGGACUGCCACAGAGAAUGCCCUCUCCUGCGCCACCGCCUCUGAACAAUUAAGGAUGCAUUUACUCUCUUGGGAGAUUUCCCCCCAGGUUUUAAU